GAUGAACGCUGGCGGCGUGCCUAACACAUGCAAGUCGAACGGAGUCGUUUUGGAAAUCUCUUCGGAGAUGGAAUUCUCGACUUAGUGGCGGACGGGUGAGUAACGCGUGAGCAAUCUGCCUUUAAGAGGGGGAUAACAGUCGGAAACGGCUGCUAAUACCGCAUAAAGCAUUAAAUUCGCAUGUUUUUGAUGCCAAAGGAGCAAUCCGCUUUUAGAUGAGCUCGCGUCUGAUUAGCUAGUUGGCGGGGUAACGGCCCACCAAGGCGACGAUCAGUAGCCGGACUGAGAGGUUGAACGGCCACAUUGGGACUGAGACACGGCCCAGACUCCUACGGGAGGCAGCAGUGGGGAAUAUUGCGCAAUGGGGGAAACCCUGACGCAGCAACGCCGCGUGAUUGAAGAAGGCCUCGGGUUGUAAAGAUCUUUAAUCAGGGACGAAACAAAUGACGGUACCUGAAGAAUAAGCUCCGGCUAACUACGUG
This 482-nucleotide ribosomal RNA is filed under the name uncultured bacterium. Its description in RNAcentral is "partial 16S ribosomal RNA". It matches the Rfam family "Bacterial small subunit ribosomal RNA", at positions 28 to 507 of the family's 1533-position model. The record is from RNAcentral.